GUUUUGAUUAUGGCUCAGAUUGAACGCUGGCGGAAUGCUUUACACAUGCAAGUCGAACGGCAGCAUAGAGAGCUUGCUCUCUGAUGGCGAGUGGCGAACGGGUGAGUAAUAUAUCGGAACGUGCCUAGUAAUGGGGAAUAACUAGCUGAAAGGUUAGCUAAUGCCGCAUACGACCUACGGGUGAAAGCAGGGGAUCUUCGGACCUUGCGUUAUUAGAGCGGCCGAUAUCUGAUUAGCUUGUUGGUGGGGUAAUGGCCUACCAAGGCGACGAUCAGUAGCUGGUCUGAGAGGACGAUCAGCCACACUGGAACUGAGACACGGUCCAGACUCCUACGGGAGGCAGCAGUGGGGAAUUUUGGACAAUGGGGGCAACCCUGAUCCAGCCAUUCCGCGUGAGUGAAGAAGGCCUUCGGGUUGUAAAGCUCUUUCGCAAGAGAAGAAAACUUGCUAUCUAAUAAAUAGUAAGUAUGACGGUAUCUGACA
RNAcentral lists this ribosomal RNA (483 nucleotides) under Methylophilales bacterium enrichment culture clone NPHTC-034. Its description in RNAcentral is "bacterial SSU rRNA". It matches the Rfam family "Bacterial small subunit ribosomal RNA", at positions 11 to 484 of the family's 1533-position model. Lineage: Bacteria; Pseudomonadati; Pseudomonadota; Betaproteobacteria; Nitrosomonadales. The record is from RNAcentral.